This 269-nucleotide ribosomal RNA is filed under the name uncultured bacterium. RNAcentral describes it as "partial 16S ribosomal RNA". It matches the Rfam family "Bacterial small subunit ribosomal RNA", at positions 123 to 406 of the family's 1533-position model. The record is from RNAcentral.
GAUUUAUCGUUGGGUGGGGGAUAACCGCGGGAAACUGCGGCUAAUACCGCAUGACGCCUGUGGGCCAAAGCAGCAAUGCGCCUGACGAGGAGCCUGCGUCCGAUUAGUUAGUUGGUUGGGUAAUGGCUGACCAAGGCGAUGAUCGGUAGCUGGUCUGAGAGGAUGAUCAGCCACACUGGGACUGAGACACGGCCCAGACUCCUACGGGUGGCAGCAGUGGGGAAUAUUGGACAAUGGGCGCAAGCCUGAUCCAGCAAUGCCGCGUGGAU